AACGAACGCUGGCGGCAUGCCUAAUACAUGCAAGUCGAACGGGAUCUUCGGAUCUAGUGGCGCACGGGUGCGUAACGCGUGGGAAUCUGCCCUUGGGUUCGGAAUAACUUCGGGAAACUGAAGCUAAUACCGGAUGAUGACGUAAGUCCAAAGAUUUAUCGCCCAAGGAUGAGCCCGCGUAGGAUUAGCUAGUUGGUGGGGUAAAGGCCUACCAAGGCGACGAUCCUUAGCUGGUCUGAGAGGAUGAUCAGCCACACUGGGACUGAGACACGGCCCAGACUCCUACGGGAGGCAGCAGUAGGGAAUAUUGGACAAUGGGCGAAAGCCUGAUCCAGCAAUGCCGCGUGAGUGAUGAAGGCCUUAGGGUUGUAAAGCUCUUUUACCCGGGAUGAUAAUGACAGUACCGGGAGAAUAAGCUCCGGCUAACUCCGUGCCAGCCGCCGCGGUAA
Molecule: ribosomal RNA, 449 nt
Filed under: uncultured bacterium
Lineage: Bacteria
Description: partial 16S ribosomal RNA
Rfam family: Bacterial small subunit ribosomal RNA
Source: RNAcentral